CACAGAGUUAGCCGAUGCUUAUUCCUCAGAUACCGUCAUUGUUUCUUCUCCGAGAAAAGAAGUUGACGACCCGUAGGCCUUCCACCUCCACGCGGCAUUGCUCCGUCAGGCUUUCGCCCAUUGCGGAAAAUUCCCCACUGCUGCCUCCCGUAGGAGUCUGGGCCGUGUCUCAGUCCCAAUGUGGCCGAUCACUCUCUCAAGUCGGCUACUGAUCGUUGCCUUGGUGGGCCGUUACCCCUCCAACUAGCUAAUCAGACGCGGGUCCAUCUUGUACCACCGGAGUUUUUCACACUGUAUCAUGCGAUACUGUGCGCUUAUGCGGUAUUAGCAGUCGUUUCCAACUGUUAUCCCCCUGUACAAGGCAGGUUACCCACGCGUUACUCACCCGUCCGCCACUCAGUCACCUCAAUUGUUCAAUCUCUAGCAAGCUAGGUCAAUCAACGGGAGAGGUGCUUCGUUCGACUUGCAUGUAUUAAGCACGCCGCAGCGUUC
Molecule: ribosomal RNA, 492 nt
Filed under: uncultured Lachnospiraceae bacterium
Lineage: Bacteria; Bacillati; Bacillota; Clostridia; Lachnospirales; Lachnospiraceae
Description: partial 16S ribosomal RNA
Source: RNAcentral